RNAcentral lists this unclassified non-coding RNA (296 nucleotides) under Hevea brasiliensis (rubber tree). The record is from RNAcentral. Lineage: Eukaryota; Viridiplantae; Streptophyta; Magnoliopsida; Malpighiales; Euphorbiaceae.
UGACUCCCAUUGUCCUCAAAGAGUGAUUCACCAACUGCUAUGAAUCCAUUUGCCUUGACAGAUUCAGGAAGGCCCUCUGGGAUACUUGCUGGCUCGGAGUUUUUGAUAGUUGCUGCUUCAGAAAUACCCUCCUCUCGAAGCAGUUCCAUGCGCUUUAAAGAUGGCACAUCACCUUUACAAUAUCUAUGCCACAUGUCCCGGUAUAUGGACUCUAAACCAAGUGCAAAGCUUGCUCCAUCACAGACGGGAGACUUAGACAUAAGAUCUCUGAGACUCAUUCUCAAGUUUGAGAGAGC